RNAcentral lists this ribosomal RNA (255 nucleotides) under uncultured prokaryote. RNAcentral describes it as "partial 16S ribosomal RNA". It matches the Rfam family "Bacterial small subunit ribosomal RNA", at positions 524 to 776 of the family's 1533-position model. The record is from RNAcentral.
UACGGGGGGGACAAGCGUUAUUCUUAAGGAUUGGGCGUAAAGGGCACGUAGGCGGAUAAAAUAAUUUUAAGUAAAAAUCCCUGAGCUCAACUUGGGCAGUGCUUAAAAAAUUAAUUAUCUAGGGUUACUUAGAAGAUAGUGGUACUCUUAAUUCAGAGGUGAAAUUCGAUGAGAUUAACGAGGACCCUCACUAGGCGAUAGCGACUAUCUAUAUUUAACUAACGCUGAGGUGCGAAAGCAUGGGGAGCAAACAGG